This 253-nucleotide ribosomal RNA is filed under the name uncultured bacterium. Its description in RNAcentral is "partial 16S ribosomal RNA". It matches the Rfam family "Bacterial small subunit ribosomal RNA", at positions 524 to 776 of the family's 1533-position model. The record is from RNAcentral.
UACGUAGGGUGCAAGCGUUAUUCGGAAUUACUGGGCGUAAAGCGCGCGCAGGCGGCUUUGCAAGUCAGAUGUGAAAUCCCCGGGCUCAACCUGGGAACUGCAUUUGAGACUGCAUGGCUGGAGUGCGGCAGAGGGGGAUGGAAUUCCGCGUGUAGCAGUGAAAUGCGUAGAGAUGUGGAGGAAUACCGAUGGCGAAGGCAGCCCCCUGGGAUAACACUGACGCUCAUGCACGAAAGCGUGGGGAGCAAACAGG